GGGGCAUUAGCGCAGUUGGUAGCGCGCCACAAUGGCAUUGUGGAGGCCAGGGGUUCGACUCCCCUAUGCUCCACCA
This 76-nucleotide transfer RNA is filed under the name Candidatus Aphodomonas merdavium. RNAcentral's name for it is "tRNA-Ala". It matches the Rfam family "tRNA". Rfam says of the family: Transfer RNA (tRNA) molecules are approximately 80 nucleotides in length. Their secondary structure includes four short double-helical elements and three loops (D, anti-codon, and T loops). Further hydrogen bonds mediate the characteristic L-shaped molecular structure. tRNAs have two regions of fundamental functional importance: the anti-codon, which is responsible for specific mRNA codon recognition, and the 3' end, to which the tRNAs corresponding amino acid is attached (by aminoacyl-tRNA synthetases). tRNAs cope with the degeneracy of the genetic code in two manners: having more than one tRNA (with a specific anti-codon) for a particular amino acid; and 'wobble' base-pairing, i.e. permitting non-standard base-pairing at the 3rd anti-codon position. The record is from RNAcentral. Lineage: Bacteria; Bacillati; Bacillota; Clostridia; Eubacteriales.